RNAcentral lists this ribosomal RNA (484 nucleotides) under uncultured bacterium. RNAcentral's name for it is "partial 16S ribosomal RNA". It matches the Rfam family "Bacterial small subunit ribosomal RNA", at positions 29 to 507 of the family's 1533-position model. The record is from RNAcentral.
AUUGAACGCUGGCGGCAUGCUUUACACAUGCAAGUCGAACGGCAGCGCGGGCUUCGGCCUGGCGGCGAGCGGCGAACGGGUGAGUAAUACAUCGGAACGUGCCCAGUAGUGGGGGAUAGCUCGGCGAAAGCCGGAUUAAUACCGCAUACGGCCUGAGGGUGAAAGCGGGGGAUCUUCGGACCUCGCGCUAUUGGAGCGGCCGAUGGCAGAUUAGCUAGUUGGUGGGGUAAAGGCCUACCAAGGCGACGAUCUGUAGCUGGUCUGAGAGGACGACCAGCCACACUGGGACUGAGACACGGCCCAGACUCCUACGGGAGGCAGCAGUGGGGAAUUUUGGACAAUGGGCGAAAGCCUGAUCCAGCAAUGCCGCGUGUGUGAUGAAGGCCUUCGGGUUGUAAAGCACUUUUGGCGGGAACGAAAAGGACUGUGCCAAUACCACGGUUCGAUGACGGUACCCGCAGAAUAAGCACCGGCUAACUACGUG